AGCAGCAGCCGCGGGAAUACCGAGGGUGCGAGCGUUAAUCGGAUUUACUGGGCGUAAAGCGUGCGUAGGCGGCUUUUUAAGUCGGAUGUGAAAUCCCUGAGCUUAACUUAGGAAUUGCAUUCGAUACUGGGAAGCUAGAGUAUGGGAGAGGAUGGUAGAAUUCCAGGUGUAGCGGUGAAAUGCGUAGAGAUCUGGAGGAAUACCGAUGGCGAAGGCAGCCAUCUGGCCUAAUACUGACGCUGAGGUACGAAAGCAUGGGGAGCAAACAGGAUUAGAUACCCCUGUAGUCCCUGUCUCUUAUAC
RNAcentral lists this ribosomal RNA (303 nucleotides) under uncultured bacterium. RNAcentral's name for it is "partial 16S ribosomal RNA". It matches the Rfam family "Bacterial small subunit ribosomal RNA", at positions 507 to 807 of the family's 1533-position model. The record is from RNAcentral.